GGCGACGAUCUGUAGCGGGUCUGAGAGGAUGAUCCGCCACACUGGGACUGAGACACGGCCCAGACUCCUACGGGAGGCAGCAGUGGGGAAUAUUGGACAAUGGGGGGAACCCUGAUCCAGCCAUGCCGCGUGUGUGAAGAAGGCCUUUUGGUUGUAAAGCACUUUAAGCGAGGAGGAGGCUACCGAGAUUAAUACUCUUGGAUAGUGGACGUUACUCGCAGAAUAAGCACCGGCUAACUCUGUGCCAGCAGCCGCGGUAAUACAGAGGGUGCAAGCGUUAAUCGGAUUUACUGGGCGUAAAGCGCGCGUAGGUGGCCAAUUAAGUCAAAUGUGAAAUCCCCGAGCUUAACUUGGGAAUUGCAUUCGAUACUGGUUGGCUAGAGUAUGGGAGAGGAUGGUAGAAUUCCAGGUGUAGCGGUGAAAUGCGUAGAGAUCUGGAGGAAUACCGAUGGCGAAGGCAGCCAUCUGGCCUAAUACUGACACUGAGGUGCGAAAGCAUGGGGAGCAAACAGGAUUAGAUACCCUGGUAGUCCAUGCCGUAAACGAUGUCUACUAGCCGUUGGGGCCUUUGAGGCUUUAGUGGCGCAGCUAACGCGAUAAGUAGACCGCCUGGGGA
RNAcentral lists this ribosomal RNA (616 nucleotides) under uncultured Acinetobacter sp. RNAcentral's name for it is "bacterial SSU rRNA". It matches the Rfam family "Bacterial small subunit ribosomal RNA", at positions 272 to 879 of the family's 1533-position model. The record is from RNAcentral. Lineage: Bacteria; Pseudomonadati; Pseudomonadota; Gammaproteobacteria; Moraxellales; Moraxellaceae.